ACAUCAGGACAUGUUGAGGAGAUAAUUUAGCCAUUUAAAUCAGCUGUGUUGGUUCAAGGACACAUGUAAAACCUGCAGGGACACCGGCCCUCGGUGCCCACCCCUGAUCUAAGCCAACCUCACCAUGCCAUCCAUUCAGCAUCAUGUACAACGGAGCUGGCGGAUUAGGUCCUCUGCCCUGGACUACGAGCCUGGGAAAAAGUAAAACUCAAGCUACCUUCAUUCCUUCACAUCCACCCGAUGUUUCAUGUUUCCAAUACAACAAACCCGCUCCUUUGAGCCCAUUGCCCUUCCUGCCUCUCUGCUCAUCUUAAAACCCUGCAAAAGGUCACAAUCAGCCUCUUGGAUCAUUCUCAGCACAGUUCUCUCCUUCACCGUCCUGCUAAACAAGCUCUCUGAUGGGUGAUCCAGUGGUGAUGGUGAGUCUGUACCCUGAGUUCCCCCAGUCUGUGAUGUGUUCAAUGGCUUCAUGUGGAGAGUUUGUGUUGGUAGUGAAUAAUUCUGAAAAUGUGAGUAAUACUCGCAACAGCAGUGCCAGGGUAUUCAUAAAGUGGUGUUAGAGUUACAAUAUCUUUCCUCAAAUUGUUCCUCUCACACAGUGGCCUCACCUUCUUUUCCCUCUUCCCUUCAGGACACUCCUCUGCUCCUGUUGGAGAGUUUACCGAUGGGUUGCUAUUCAAACAUUUACAGUUUGGGGUCUAGUUAUGAACACAUCUUCCCGUGACUUGUAUUCAUGUGAUCUCAGUGACUUACAGUGAUAUCACUGUAAAUGUGUAAUAACAAAUUUCCCAUGUGUGGGACUAAUAAAGGUUAUCUUAUCUUAUCUUAUCUUAUCUGAUCUUAUAAGAUGUCGUCCCUGUUGUUAAACACCAUGUUGCCUUUGGAUGAUUCUGCAAAACUCCAGGUUAUGUUUGAUCUCACUUGUGUGUAUCUCAUGGCAGUAAGAGUGUAGAGUAUGGUGAGAAGACCAUGGAGGAGGCUCUGAAGAAAGUUGAGCAAAUGGAGGCUAAUCUUGGAGGAACAGAAAUCCUGGAGCCCCUCAAACAUAUUUACAGCCAGCCCUGCAUUCCCACUCAGCCCAGAC
Long non-coding RNA from Oreochromis aureus, 1084 nucleotides. RefSeq lists it as uncharacterized. The transcript is spliced from 3 exons. The record is from RefSeq and is a predicted model, not a curated record. NCBI's taxonomy places the organism in Eukaryota, Metazoa, Chordata, Actinopteri, Cichliformes, Cichlidae.